CCAAAAAGUCGCAGCUGUUUCAGCUCUAUUCUAGCGGUAUUAACUAAGAAAACAUGUUCCCAAAUGUACAUUCAGAAAGGUUAAAAAGAGUCUGACUCAUUGGCCUUGAGGAAAUAAGGACAACAUGGGAGCAGAAGAAAGCACAAGGCCACGUAGAGUUUUCGGGAAGGAGAAUAAAAAUAUUUAAGCUACGGUAAACCCUUCACAGAGAUAUUUCAGUCCUAACAAAUGUACUUGUGGUUGACUGCAUUAUUG
This is a non-coding RNA of Pelobates cultripes (western spadefoot toad), 255 nucleotides long. The record is from the annotation of a GenBank genome assembly. Lineage: Eukaryota; Metazoa; Chordata; Amphibia; Anura; Pelobatidae.